UACAGGGGGGGCAAGCGUUGUUCGGAAUUACUGGGCGUAAAGGGCUCGUAGGUGGCCAACUAAGUCAGACGUGAAAUCCCUCAGCUUAACUGGGGAACUGCGUCUGAUACUGGAUGGCUUGAGUUUGGGAGAGGGAUGCGGAAUUCCAGGUGUAGCGGUGAAAUGCGUAGAUAUCUGGAGGAACACCGGUGGCGAAGGCGGCAUCCUGGACCGGCAUUGACGCUGAGGCGCGAAAGCUAGGGGAGCAAACGGG
RNAcentral lists this ribosomal RNA (253 nucleotides) under uncultured bacterium. Its description in RNAcentral is "partial 16S ribosomal RNA". It matches the Rfam family "Bacterial small subunit ribosomal RNA", at positions 524 to 776 of the family's 1533-position model. The record is from RNAcentral.